UUCCUUGUAGCUCAGUUGCUAAAGAACCUGCCUGCAAUGCAGGAGACCCAGGUUUGAUUCUUGGUUUGGGAA
This 72-nucleotide transfer RNA is filed under the name Ovis aries (sheep). It matches the Rfam family "tRNA". Rfam says of the family: Transfer RNA (tRNA) molecules are approximately 80 nucleotides in length. Their secondary structure includes four short double-helical elements and three loops (D, anti-codon, and T loops). Further hydrogen bonds mediate the characteristic L-shaped molecular structure. tRNAs have two regions of fundamental functional importance: the anti-codon, which is responsible for specific mRNA codon recognition, and the 3' end, to which the tRNAs corresponding amino acid is attached (by aminoacyl-tRNA synthetases). tRNAs cope with the degeneracy of the genetic code in two manners: having more than one tRNA (with a specific anti-codon) for a particular amino acid; and 'wobble' base-pairing, i.e. permitting non-standard base-pairing at the 3rd anti-codon position. The record is from Rfam by way of RNAcentral. Lineage: Eukaryota; Metazoa; Chordata; Mammalia; Artiodactyla; Bovidae.